GAACAAGUACUGUGAAGGAAAGGUGAAAAGAACUUUGAAAAGAGAGUGAAAUAGUAUGUGAAAUUGU
RNAcentral lists this ribosomal RNA (67 nucleotides) under Xanthomonas citri pv. citri. RNAcentral's name for it is "partial 23S ribosomal RNA". It matches the Rfam family "Eukaryotic large subunit ribosomal RNA", at positions 342 to 408 of the family's 3401-position model. The record is from RNAcentral. Lineage: Bacteria; Pseudomonadati; Pseudomonadota; Gammaproteobacteria; Lysobacterales; Lysobacteraceae.